Molecule: ribosomal RNA, 928 nt
Filed under: uncultured bacterium
Lineage: Bacteria
Description: bacterial SSU rRNA
Rfam family: Bacterial small subunit ribosomal RNA
Source: RNAcentral
AGAGUUUGAUCAUGGCUCAGAAUGAACGCUGGCGGCGUGCUUUACACAUGCAAGUCGAGCGGAGUCCGACCCGAGGGGCAACCCGAGGGACGGGCUCAGCGGCAAACGGGUGAGUAAUGGACAGGUAACGUACCCCCUAGACGUGGAUAGCUCAUCGAAAGAUGAGAUAAUACGCGAUAAUGUUGCAGGGCGAUGGCUCUGCAAAGAAAGCGGGCGCAAGCUCGCGCUUCCGGAUCGGCCUGUCUCCUAUCAGCUUGUUGGUGGGGUAAGAGCCUACCAAGGCGAUGACGGGUAGCUGGUCUUAGAGGAUGGUCAGCCACAUUGGAACUGCGACACGGUCCAGACUCCUACGGGAGGCAGCAGUGGGGAAUCAUGGUCAAUGGGCGAAAGCCUGAACCUGCGACGCCGCGUGAGUGAUGAAGGUCGUAAGAUCGUAAAACUCUUUUCAGGGACAUUAACGCUCCGGCUCUAACAUAGCCUGGAGUCUGACUCUCCCUGGAAUAAGCCCCAGCCAACUACGUGCCAGCAGCUGCGGUAAUACGUAGGGGGCGAGCGUUAUUCGGAAUUACUGGGUGUAAAGGGUAUGUAGGCGGCCUCACAAGUCGCGUGUCAAAGUCCAGCGCUCAACGCUGGGUUCGCACGCGAUACUGUAUGGCUUGAGGACUGGAGAGGUGAGCGGAAUUCCCGGUGUAGUGGUAAAAUACGUAGAUAUCGGGAGGAACACCAGCGGCGUAGGCGGCUCACUAGACAGUUUCUGACGCUAAGAUACGAAAGCGUGGGGAGCAAACAGGAUUAGAUACCCUGGUAGUCCACGCCCUAAACGAUGGAUACUUGGUGUUGGGGGGUUACCUUCAGUGCCGGAGCUAACGCGUUAAGUAUCCCACCUGGGGACUACGGCCGCAAGGCUAAAACUCAAAGGAAUUGACGG